UACGGAGGAUGCGAGCGUUAUCCGGAUUUAUUGGGUUUAAAGGGUGCGUAGGCGGAUCGUUAAGUCAGUGGUCAAAUUGAGGGGCUCAACCCCUUCCCGCCAUUGAAACUGGCGAUCUUGAGUGGAAGAGAAGUAUGCGGAAUGCGUGGUGUAGCGGUGAAAUGCAUAGAUAUCACGCAGAACCCCGAUUGCGAAGGCAGCAUGCCGGCUUCCUACUGACGCUGAAGCACUAAAGCGUGGGGAUCGAACAGG
This 252-nucleotide ribosomal RNA is filed under the name uncultured bacterium. Its description in RNAcentral is "partial 16S ribosomal RNA". It matches the Rfam family "Bacterial small subunit ribosomal RNA", at positions 524 to 776 of the family's 1533-position model. The record is from RNAcentral.